This 94-nucleotide transfer RNA is filed under the name Planctomyces sp. SH-PL62. Its description in RNAcentral is "tRNA-Arg". The record is from RNAcentral. Lineage: Bacteria; Pseudomonadati; Planctomycetota; Planctomycetia; Planctomycetales; Planctomycetaceae.
CGCGCGGAUCGCCGGGGUCGCCGGCGUCGGGGUGAUCCGGACGUCCAGCGGCGGGCUGACGUUGUUGCGGUAGUUCGACUCCAGCACCGAGCGG